AACGAACGCUGGCGGCAUGCCUAACACAUGCAAGUCGAACGAGACCUUCGGGUCUAUUAGCGCACGUGUGCUUAACGCGUGGGAACCUCCCCUUAGGUUCCGAAUAACUCCCCUAUAUGGGUACUAAUACCCGUAAAUGUCCUCGGACCAACGAGUUAUGGCCUUUGGAUGGGCACGCAUUUGAUUAGCUAGUUGGUAGUGUAAAAGCAUACCAAGGUGACGUUCCUUAGCUGGUCUGUGAGGAUGAUCAGCUACACUGGGACUGAGACACGGCCCAGACUACUACGGAAGGCAGCAGUGGGGAAUACUAGACAAGGGGUGAAAGGCUGAACGAGCAAGGCCGCGUGAGUGAUGCAGGCCUUAGGGUUGUAACGCACUUUUACACGGGAUGAUAAUGACAGUAACGGGAGAAUAAGCUCCGGCUAACUCCGUG
This 433-nucleotide ribosomal RNA is filed under the name uncultured bacterium. Its description in RNAcentral is "partial 16S ribosomal RNA". It matches the Rfam family "Bacterial small subunit ribosomal RNA", at positions 29 to 507 of the family's 1533-position model. The record is from RNAcentral.